Molecule: ribosomal RNA, 219 nt
Filed under: uncultured bacterium
Lineage: Bacteria
Description: partial 16S ribosomal RNA
Rfam family: Bacterial small subunit ribosomal RNA
Source: RNAcentral
UACGGGGGGGGCAAGCGUUGUUCGGAAUUACUGGGCGUAAAGGGCUCGUAGGUGGUCAACUAAGUCGGACGUGAAAUCCCUCGGCUUAACCGGGGAACUGCGUCUGAUACUGGAUGGCUUGAGUUUGGGAGAGGGAUGCGGAAUUCCAGGUGUAGCGGUGAAAUGCGUAGAUAUCUGGAGGAACACCGAUGGCGAAGGCAGCCCCCUGGGCCGAAGCAC